Myodes glareolus (Bank vole) is the source of this 537-nucleotide non-coding RNA. The record is from RefSeq and is a predicted model, not a curated record. Lineage: Eukaryota; Metazoa; Chordata; Mammalia; Rodentia; Cricetidae.
UGUAGAAGGAGGAGACCCUGACCAGCUUCAGAGAAGACUCCAGACCUGUCCCUAGGCCUGCAAGCUGUGCAGUUUCAGCUGUGCUGUCCCCUGAGUCACAGCCUGAGCUGAGGUGGGCUCUGCAGGGAUGCAGCUGCUGUGAAUCCAUUCCAGCUCCUAUCUGGAUGUGCAGAAGAAGCUUCUCUGAGCACAGUGGAGAGCAGCACUGACCCAGAUCAGCACCAGGAGGAUGUGGACCCAGCAGCACCAGCUCCCAGGAUCUUCUGCCUUUCCUUGUCAGAUUGUCACUGCAGGGACAGCCAGCCUGUAGGACUGAGCAGCUUCUGGGUUCUCUGUUCUUACUGUGAAUGUGGACAUUGCUAUGCUACCUAGUGGAUGACUAACCUAUAAUAGUAAUAAUAUUAUAAAAUAUUAUAUUUUCUCUUAUGACUAUAUUAUAUAUAGUCAUUUAAAAAUAAAAGACACAUUUUUUUCUUUUGUUCUAGAGAUGGCUGCCUAGUAAGGUGUGGUUAUAAUAAAUAUCUACUGCAAAAUUAA